GAAGGACUCAGUGCUGUGGCUGUGAGGAGCUGCUCAUGAAAAUCAGUGAGAAGGGUAAUUACUUGUGAUGAGUGCCUGGGGAUAUGCUGGUCCCAGCUUGAAUCUUUGGCUGAAGAGAAGAUGAUGAAGAUGGUUUUUACCUGAGCUCCAGACCCAAAGGCCUAAGUGGGACACAGCGGAAGGAAAUGAAGGAAUUCUGUGAAUCUCCGACAUGUGACAGUGCCAAACGUCUGUCAGAGACUUGUACUGUAACAGGUUUUAGAAUAUAACACUGCACAGCUGAUCUUGGCAAACAUCUCAAGGCUGAAGACUUGUCAUUUUGCUGAGGUCGCAGUGUUAAGGAAACUUCAGAUGUAUUCCUCAACAAGUAGUUGCCUGAUUUCUUCAAUGAAAUAACCAGAAGUGAACAUAGAAGGAGAAUAUGAAGAAGCAAUAGCCAUGCUAACUUAUUCCUGGAGAACAUCCUUGAUGACAUUCAGAUACAGGGGCAAAUAUGCUCAAAUUGAAGCAGUUUGUGCAGGAACAUAGCCAUGUGCUGAUCAACAUAAUUUGAUAAAGUGAUUUGAAAUGAGGCAUGGGCGUGAAUGAAGAAACAUCCCAUUGCUCUUAGCAUAAGGAGCUGGUCUGUGAUGAAGAGGCAUCUAGUUUAUUACUUCUGCUAUUAAGGUCUACAAACUCAUAGCAUUGAAAAUUGUAUUUCAGGCAAUGUGUCUUUGGUAGCAUGAACACAGGUAGACUGGAAUGGUAAGUGAGAAUGCAAGUAUGGUUAACUGGAGAAAAGCUUUUUUGAUGACCUUCUUCUGCUUCAUGGAUCUCCUUGAGCUGCAUUGUGGCUUGGUCACUGUCCCACCAAAUGACAUAGUCCAAAGCUGUGUUUCCAACACAGCUGUCUCAUGACUGGCCUGAAACAGCAAAGCUUCCUUCUUAAUGGUUUCAGGAAAAUAAUGCUCCCCAAAAGAGUUUGGUGGAAAGUUGUUGAAAGGUAAUAUAUCAUCAGAUCUACCACAGAUUGCUCCAGGAUGAAAUUGAAUGUGUUAAUUAUUGUCAUUUGAGAAGACCAUUUGACAGUGGAAAGAAAAAGGAAUUUUAAAAUUUUAGCGUAUCUAACCCAUCCUGUAAGAUUUGCAUGAAAAGUUCAGUUUGUUUUUAAGGAUGCUAGUUAUAAUGUAUUUGGAUUGUUGAUGAUAGAUUAAUACAGAUUGCUAUUUUGAAAUGGAAAAUAAGUUGAUCUUUAUGUUCUGGGUCAAAUCUUGUAUGCAAAAUCCUAACUGAUCAAUCUGGAGAAUGAUAUUCGUGUUCACCUCUGUGCCUUCAUGUACUAAUGUAACAAUUACAUCGCACUCUUUUGUAUAACUAGCGUGUUUAAUGCAUCUCGAAAAUGCCUUCUCAUGCCUACAGGUCCUUCAGCAAAGGUAGUCUGUACAUUUCAAAAGUCAAAAACAAUUUAUUUAAAUGACCUGUAACCUAACAUGUUUCAUGCUGCUAGAAAUCAGUAAGUCUGCUCUCCAGCUCACAAAGCCAACACUGAAGUUUAUUUUAGGAAAACAUGGUUUGAGGACAGUACUUUAGCAUGACUCAUAAUAGAGCAAUGUGAAGA
Passer montanus (Eurasian tree sparrow) is the source of this 1597-nucleotide long non-coding RNA. RefSeq lists it as uncharacterized. The record is from RefSeq and is a predicted model, not a curated record. NCBI's taxonomy places the organism in Eukaryota, Metazoa, Chordata, Aves, Passeriformes, Passeridae. The transcript is spliced from 5 exons.